Molecule: long non-coding RNA, 1128 nt
Organism: Rosa rugosa (rugosa rose)
Lineage: Eukaryota; Viridiplantae; Streptophyta; Magnoliopsida; Rosales; Rosaceae
Exons: 6
Source: RefSeq, a predicted model, not a curated record
AAUAAGAAAUUAGAAAAAAAAAAAAACAGUCGCACACGAUCUCCAGAUUAGAGGAGAACUGCCCGGGCACGAUCUCAACACAGACGAAGGCUCAAUACGACGUGGGAAUUGAUCGGAGUACAAAUGGAAUUGCCCGGGCAGGAUCUACAUCAGUACUCAUUCCUCUUCCAAUUUACAGUUCUUGCAAACGUAGAAAACAAACACAGAAAGAAGAACAGAGCGGAAUCAAACCCAGAAGGAGGAGAAAGAGAAAGAAACAAAUCGGCUGCCAGUUUGCAGACUUGAUAAUUCCCAUUGGGUGAAGGAAAAUAAUCUCAGUGUUCAACCAAAACAGUCACAUUAUUUGGGUUCGCAUUAUCACAGAGGUACAGCUGGAGGUCCAGACUUGAAAAGUUUCAUUGUCCAAUUUCCUGUGUCCCGAGAAGGUAGUUCAGUUAAAGGAAAAUAAAGAUAAAUCUCGCUUAAGGGGGUUUUGUUUUGAGUCUCUCUGUGUUAGAUUGUGUGAUCUUCAUUCAAUAGCAAUGCUAUCAAACUAUUGCUUUAAAGCUGCAGGUCCAGACUUGAAAAGUUUCAUUGUCCAAUUUCCUGUGUCCCGAGAAGGAAGUUUAGUUAAAGGAAAAUAAAGGUGCAGGAAAGCAGGGGUAGGUACACGAAACCAACCAUAGAGUUGGAGGAAAACAAUCACAGAGGUUAACAACAUCAAUAACAUUAGUUUGGUCGCAAAGAAACAAUCACAGAGGUUCAAGCUCAUCAGUUCUGUACGUGAAUUCAACCAGAAAUAAAUUUGAUUUCUUUCUCUCUACACAGGAUUUCUUGGUGGCUCACACAGGUUCUCUGGGAGAAUUACACAUAAAUAUUGCUUGGAAGAUGCAUAACUGCACAGUCAUUUAAGGAGGCAUAGACGCAGCGCAGGUUAAUUAUCUUCGAUCUUCAAAUAGAGUUCAUGAAGAUGUGAUGUUAUGUUUUAUGACAGUUUAGAGGAACCUACCAGAUUCAAUGACAGAUAGGGAUAGUGUCAUGUUGUUCAGAAUGACUUGUGUUUCAUUCAUUGCAAGAAAGCAUGAAUUUGAAAAAUGUACUUGGAUUCCAAUCCAUGAUUGCACACUAUAUGCAGUGGCAAAAAUAUGG